This 148-nucleotide non-coding RNA is filed under the name Gorilla gorilla gorilla (western lowland gorilla). The record is from Rfam by way of RNAcentral. Lineage: Eukaryota; Metazoa; Chordata; Mammalia; Primates; Hominidae.
GCCGGGCAUGGUGGUGCAUGCCUGUAGUCCCAGCUACUCGGGAGACUGAGGUGGGAGGAUCGCUUGAGCCUAGGAGGGUGCGGUUGCAUUGACCUAUGAUUGUGCUACUGCACUCCAGCCUGGGCAACAAAGUGAGACCCUGUCUCAA